CCUGGACCCGAAGCGGGAUGAUCUAGCCCUGGGCAGGUUGAAGCGCGGGUAAGACCGCGUGGAGGACCGAACCCACCUGGGUUGAAAACCGGGGGGAUGACCUGGGGCUAGGGGUGAAAGGCCAAUCAAAUUCCGUGAUAGCUGGUUCUCUCCGAAAUGCAUUUAGGUGCAGCGUCGGUUGAUUGCAUCGCGGGGGUAGAGCUACUGGAUGCUUGCGGGCCCGUAUGGGGUACCAAUAGCAGCCAAACUCCGAAUACCGUGGAUGUGUAUUCCGGCAGUGAGUCGGCGGGGGAUAAGCUCCGUCGUCGAGAGGGAGACAGCCCAGAUCGUCGUCUAAGGUCCCGAAGCGUGUGCUAAGUGGGAAAGGAUGUGGAGUCGCAUAGACAGCCAGGAGGUUGGCUCAGAAGCAGCCAUCCUUGAAAGAGUGCGUAACAGCUCACUGGUCUAGUGGUUCCGCGCCGACAAUGUAGCGGGGCUCAAGCACACCACCGAAGACGCGGCAGCGGCCUUUGCGGCCGUUGGGUAGGAGAGCGUCCCGCGUGGGGCGAAGCGGCCGGGGAACCGUGCCGUGGACCGCGCGGGAGUGAGAAUGCAGACAUGAGUAGCGAGAGACGGGUGAGGAUCCCGUCCGCUGGAUGACCAAGGGUUCCGGGGCCACGUUCGUCGUCCCCGGGUGAGUCGGGUCCUAAGGCGAGGCCGACAGGCGUAGUCGAAUGGAUGAACGGGUGGAUAUUCCCGUACCGGCGGCGUACCGUAAGAGCCGAACGGAUGAGUACUAACCUCCGGUCGCGUGGCGUCGUUCCCUUCGGGGUUCGGUGUCCGCGGUCGUUGGGAGCGUAGUCCCGGUAGGCUAGCGCACAGGGGUGACACGGAAUGGGAGCCGGCCGCGGAGGUGGUUUUCCGUGGUCAAGCACGCAGCCCGUCCCAUAGGCAAAUCCGUGGGGCAUGUAGGGUGAGGUGUGAUGAUGGGCGUCCUUUGGACGCGAUAUCCGGUGGUCCAGGCCGUCGAGAAAAGCCUCGGCGCGAGGGGCGUCGCCGCCCGUACCCCAAACCGACACUGGUGGUCAGGUAGAGAAUACCAAGGCGAUCGAGCGAAUCCUGGUCAAGGAACUCGGCAAAUCACUCCCGUGCCUUCGGUAUAAGGGAGACCCCCGGGCGUGAAGAGGCUUGCCCUCGGAGCGUUGGGGGGUGGCACAGACCAGGGGGUAGCGACUGUUUACCAAAAACACAGGUGCAUGCGAAGGCGCAAGCCGCUGUAUAUGCACUGACGCCUGCCCGGUGCCGGAAGGUUAAGAGGAUCCGUCAGUCCCUUUUGGGGUGAAGCGGUGAAUUCAAGCCCCGGUAAACGGCGGUGGUAACUAUAACCAUCCUAAGGUAGCGAAAUUCCUUGUCGGGUAAGUUCCGACCUGCACGAAUGGCGUAACGACUUCCCCACUGUCUCGACCAGGAGCUCGGCGAAAUUGCAGUACGAGUAAAGAUGCUCGUUAAGCGCAGAAGGACGAAAAGACCCCGGGACCUUUACUAUACCUUGGUAUUGGCGUUAGGCGCGGAUUGUGUAGCAUAGGCGGGAGGCUUCGAAGCAUGGGCGCCAGCCCGUGUGGAGCCGCAAGGUGAAAUACCGCUCUGUUCUCGUUUGACGUCUAACCUCGAACAGUCAUCCUGUUCAGGGACAGUGCCUGGCGGGUAGUUUAACUGGGGCGGUUGCCUCCCAAAGAGUAACGGAGGCGCUCAAAGGUCCGCUCAGCCCGGUUGGCAAUCGGGUUUCGAGUGUAAUCGCACAAGCGGGCUUGACUGCGAGAACGACGGUUCGGGCAGGGACGAAAGUCGGAGAUAGUGAUCCGGUGCCGGCGCACGGGCGCGGCAUCGCUCAACGGAUAAAAGGUACCCCGGGGAUAACAGGCUGAUCAUUCCCAAGAGUCCAUAUCGACGGGAUGGUUUGGCACCUCGAUGUCGGCUCGUCGCAUCCUGGGGCUGGAGCAGGUCCCAAGGGUUCGGCUGUUCGCCGAUUAAAGCGGCACGCGAGCUGGGUUCAGAACGUCGUGAGACAGUUUGGUCUCUAUCCUCUGCGCUCGUUGGAAUCCUGAGGAGGCCUGCCCAUAGUACGAGAGGACCUGGGUGGACG
RNAcentral lists this ribosomal RNA (2122 nucleotides) under human gut metagenome. RNAcentral's name for it is "bacterial LSU rRNA". It matches the Rfam family "Bacterial large subunit ribosomal RNA", at positions 708 to 2703 of the family's 2925-position model. The record is from RNAcentral.